AUGAGCGCGGUGAACUUAACGAACGUGGCGGUGCUGAACAACCCUACCUCUUUCGUCAAUCCCUUCCAGUUCGAGAUCUCGUACGAGUGCCUCGNNNNNNNNNNNNNNGAUCUGGAGUGGAAGCUUAUAUAUGUUGGAUCAGCUGAAGAUGAGAACUAUGAUCAGCAACUUGAGAGUGUGCUUGUUGGCCCUGUGAAUGUUGGGACAUACCGUUUUGUUCUGGAGGCCGACCCCCCUGAUCCCUCAAAGAUCCGUGAGGAGGACAUAAUCGGUGUUACGGUGCUUUUGUUGACCUGUUCAUACAUGGGGCAGGAAUUCAUCAGAGUAGGCUACUACGUGAACAAUGAUUACGACGAUGAGCAACUUAGGGAAGAACCCCCAGCGAAGCUGCUGAUUGACCGGGUGCAGAGAAAUAUUUUGACCGACAAGCCCCGAGUCACCAAGUUCCCCAUCAAUUUCCAUCCUGAAACCAGCGGAGGACAGCAGCAAGAUCAGCCACAAUCAGCUGUACCUGAAAACCAUACAAGCGAAGGGAGCAAGGCCAACGCAGAUCUUUGA
This 558-nucleotide ribosomal RNA is filed under the name Triticum aestivum (bread wheat). RNAcentral describes it as "partial small subunit ribosomal RNA". The record is from RNAcentral. Lineage: Eukaryota; Viridiplantae; Streptophyta; Magnoliopsida; Poales; Poaceae.